CUACGGGUCGCUCCAGUCGAGAAUCUUUCCCAAUGGACGAAAGUCUGAGGAUGCGACGCCGCGUGGGGGAUGACGGCCUUCGGGUUGUAAACUCCUUUUAUAAGGGAGGAAGGCUAAAAAGGUAAUAUCUCUUUAGAUUGACUGUACCUUAUGAAUAAGCCACGGCUAACUCCGUGCCAGCAGCCGCGGUAAUACGGAGGUGGCGAGCGUUGCUCGGUUUGACUGGGUGUAAAGGGUCCGCAGGCGGCCUUACAAGUGAAAGGUGAAAUCCUUCCGCUUAACGGGAGAAUUGCCUUUCAAACUGUUUGGCGUGAGGUUGGAAGAGGAGAGCGGAACUGCUGGUGUAAAGGUGAAAUUUGUGGAUAUCAGCAGGAACGCCCGUGGAGAAGUCGGCUCUCUGGUCCAAUCCUGACGCUCAGGGACGAAAGCUAGGGGAGCAAACAGGAUUAGAUACCCUAGUAGUC
This 464-nucleotide ribosomal RNA is filed under the name uncultured bacterium. Its description in RNAcentral is "partial 16S ribosomal RNA". It matches the Rfam family "Bacterial small subunit ribosomal RNA", at positions 339 to 795 of the family's 1533-position model. The record is from RNAcentral.